Sebastes umbrosus (honeycomb rockfish) is the source of this 919-nucleotide long non-coding RNA. RefSeq lists it as uncharacterized. The transcript has 2 exons. The record is from RefSeq and is a predicted model, not a curated record. NCBI's taxonomy places the organism in Eukaryota, Metazoa, Chordata, Actinopteri, Perciformes, Sebastidae.
AUGGACCUCAGGUAACUUAUUGAUCAUGUUGCCUACUAUGAAUUCAUGGUGAGGAACUGGCUCUCCUAUAAACAUCUCCAUUCAUCCACUUGGUGUUGUGUACAAGCAUAACACUAACAUGAAAGUUUCUGGAAAACCAUGUGUGUGUGUGUGUGUGUGUGUGUGUGUGUGUGUGUGUGUGUGUGUGUGUGUGUGUGUGUGUGUGUGUGUGUGUGUGUGUGUGUGUUACAGUACAGUUAGCAGUGCUUGUUUUAAGGUGAUUACAUCUGAGUCAGACAGAGACAGAUUACGAGCUGAAAAGUCAAUGAAAACUCUUCUCUGCAGUCUAGACACACAUUCAUAUAAUAACACACACACACAUUCAUAUAAUAACAAACAUUCAUAUAAUAACACACAGUAACGUGAGCAUGUUGCCUUUCAUAGCCGCAUGUCAUCCAAAGUCUUAGAUCAAAUAAGACUAUGAAAUUGAGGAAUAACGUGUGUGUGUGUGUGUGUGUGUGUUGGCAGUAUCUUAUCACUCCCAGUGGGAAUUUUCAGUGCCAGAAAAAAGGCAUGUUUGAUGUGUACUUUUUUUUCCAGCAGAGCGUAUGCAACCCAGAUGGCAGGUGUUGACUACUGUUUCCACGUGCUAAGUCAGAUGACAGGAGAAAGACGCAUCAGCUGGACCAGCUUGACUCUCUGACACCGAGACAAAGGAAAAGGAAAAGGAAGCACAUAUAACUGUUGUCUGACUGACUGCUACGCAACCUCUCAUCAAUACACGGCAAAGCCUUUUAUCCACAGUUUCACUGCACCGAGCAUAAGCUGCCGUCUGCAAAGGUCUCUAGUGACCUCACCAACAAACAACGUGAUGAACUCCAGCGCCUCCGGGCCACGCUAAACACAUCAGCGUUACACACUCAAUAAACAAAGUGAAAGA